RNAcentral lists this long non-coding RNA (11252 nucleotides) under Vitis vinifera (wine grape). RNAcentral's name for it is "long non-coding RNA (VVIN_LNC003583)". The record is from RNAcentral. Lineage: Eukaryota; Viridiplantae; Streptophyta; Magnoliopsida; Vitales; Vitaceae.
ACAAUCGAAGAGGCAAGAGGCAGAGCACGUUCUGUUGUCAAGUACCUCAAGGCUUGCAGUCUGUUGUUGGACAGCACAGAGGAGGGCGGUGUGAAAAUGCAUGACGUUGUCCGCGAUAUGGCUAUACUACUCGUAUCAUCUGAAGACAAUAAUGCCUUUAUGGUGCAAUCUGGUAGCGCCUUAAAGGUGUGGCCGACAAAGGACAGCUAUGAAGCCUACACAGCCAUCUCACUCAUGUCCAACGAAAUCGAGGAGCUCCCUGAUGGGCUAGUAUGCCCCAAGCUUCAGACAUUGUUAUUACAGAAUAACAAUGAUAUACAAGAGAUCCCAGAUGACUUUUUUGGAAGCUUCCACUCCCUGAGAGUCUUAGACCUCAAUGGUGCUGACAUCCCAUCACUACCCCCUUCGCUUGGACUCCUGAGAAGCCUUAGGACGCUAUGCCUAGACUGCUGCCAGUCAAUAACAGACAUAUCCAUACUGGGGAAAUUGGAGAAACUUGAGAUUCUUAGUCUCAGAGAAUCCUACAUUGAGGAUUUGCCAGAAGAACUGGCCCAGCUGGCCAAUCUGAGGAUGCUGGAUUUCACUAUGAGUAACAACAUCAAAUCAAUUCCUCCUAAAGUGAUAUCAAGCUUGUCCAGGUUAGAAGAGAUGUACAUGCAGGGUAGCUUCGCAGACUGGGGUCUGCUGCUUGAAGGAACAUCAUCAGGAGCCAACGCCGGUUUUGAUGAGCUAACGUGCUUGCAUCGCUUAAAUAUCUUGAAGGUAGACAUCUCUGAUGCUGAGUGCAUGCCUAAAACUGUGAGGUUUGAUCCAAACUGGGUAAACUUUGAUAUAUGCAUAAGCAGGAAGCUGUUCACCCGGUUCAUGAAUGUGCAUCUGUCAAGAGUUACAGCUGCUCGAUCAAGAGCCUUGAUUCUCGAUGUCACCAUCAAUACCUUGCCAGACUGGUUCAACAAAGUGGCCACUGAAAGAACCGAGAAACUAUACUACAUAGAAUGCAGGGGUCUAGACAACAUUCUUAUGGAAUAUGAUCAAGGAAGCUUAAAUGGCCUCAAGAUCCUCCUUGUCCAGAGUUGCCAUCAGAUAGUACACCUCAUGGAUGCAGUAACAUAUGUUCCAAACAGACCUUUGUUCCCUAGCUUGGAAGAGCUGCGUGUUCACAAUCUUGACUACUUGAAAGAGAUCUGCAUUGGGCAACUUCCGCCUGGAUCGUUGGGGAACAUGAAGUUCUUGCAGGUGGAGCAGUGCAAUGAGCUGGUGAAUGGGCUGCUGCCGGCUAAUCUGUUGCGGAGACUAGAGAGUCUGGAAGUCCUUGAUGUGAGUGGGAGCUAUUUGGAAGACAUAUUUAGGACUGAAGGACUCAGGGAAGGAGAAGUUGUGGUGGGAAAGCUGAGAGAACUGAAACUGGAUAAUCUACCUGAACUGAAGAAUAUAUGGAAUGGCCCUACCCAGCUUGCAAUAUUCCACAAUCUGAAGAUUUUGACAGUGAUAAAGUGCAAGAAACUGAGGAAUCUAUUCACAUACAGUGUGGCUCAAAGUCUCAGAUAUCUGGAGGAGCUGUGGAUUGAGUAUUGCAAUGGUUUGGAGGGAGUUAUUGGGAUGCAUGAGGGUGGAGAUGUAGUGGAGAGGAUCAUUUUCCAGAACUUGAAGAACUUGUCCUUGCAAAAUCUUCCAGUGCUCAGAAGCUUUUAUGAAGGAGAUGCAAGAAUUGAAUGCCCAUCCUUGGAACAACUGCAUGUGCAGGGCUGCCCAACAUUUAGGAAUUACUCACCUUAUUUCCACAGUACAAACCAAUUCCAAGUAAACAAUGAACAACACUUGCUCCUCCUGCGAAAAAGGUAUGGUUUAGUAAUAAUGUUAGAUUUUUUUUUCCCCUAAAUUUUCUAACUUUUUUUUUCUUCUUAUUUCCUACUUUUUUUUUUUGUCAUAAGGUUGUGGGAGGAGAGAACUUUCCUAGAAGAAAAUUUAUGAAUCGGCGAGCAAAAGGGCAAAGGAGGUUGGAACCAUUAUGUUCAUCAAGCUGAUUUGGGUCCAGUAAAUACAUAUACAUAUAUACAUACAUAUAUAGGUGUGUGUAUAUAUUACAUACAUGCAUACAUACGUAUGUGUAUAUAUAUAUAUGUUUGUGUGUGUGUAUUAGCAAAUUUUCAAUUGGAUAUUUGCCAAUUAAGAAGUUGACGAUUGAAACUUGAGAUGCUUUAAUCCUUGAAGUGUUCUAUUCAUCACCCUUUUGGUUUUGAUUGCCAUCUCUAGUUACGCUUAUAGUGAACCUUCCCUUGAAAUAUGCUAUUAGACUCCAUAAUUUGCCUAAUUUUUCCAAAAGAUUUUAUGCAAAAAAAAAAAAAAAAAAAAAAAACCACGAGCUUUUAAGGUCCACAAGAACUCCAAAAAUUCAAAUAGAAAUAAACCAUAAGUCAAGCUCAAACCCAAAAGUUCUUUCAAGAAAUUAAACACAACUACAGAAGUAUACUAUUUUGCUCCCAUAAAUUCACUUAUAUAUCACAAAUAAAAGAUGCAGAUAUGUACAUGGAUCUAAAUACAAAUUUCAUUUCCAUCUUACAAAAUACACAAUCUCUUGAAAAAUCUCCAAAAUACAACCAUUCAAUAAAUUAAGAUCCCAACAUAGUAAAAAAGGGAACCUUCAUCCUUCCAAUUGGAACAUGUAUAUAUAUAUAUUUGGAUGCUAGCUCCCUUUUCUAUCAUUGGUUUUUUAACAUGAGCAACUUGCUAUCUUUCAGAAGGAUUCUUUCUACCUUGAGAAGUAUAUGGCUUUUACACAUAUGAAACAUAGCACAAUUAGGUAAUACACAUUCAUGACAUGAAUUGUAACAUAAUUUAAACAUCACAUAAUUAGAAGGGUGCAUUGUGGUUCUAAGGUUUUCAACUAAAGAUACUAGUCCAUGUCUAAUACACUCCUUAUUGAUCCAAACUUGAAAUCUCCUCUCUUCUCAAUUUGCCCUCUUUAGGAUCUUUUCAUCUCUCAUUUUUAUUUUAUUUCCGAUUCACACUGUCUUAUCAUUUUUUCAGUUUCACACAAUAUGAAUGCACUUAUAUGUACAAUGAUUUUUUUUGUCCUAAAAUAAUCUCAUAUCGAACACAUAAUAGACAUAUAUUCAUCUCAUGUAGCAAGUGAAUCAACAUAUUAAACAACUAUGAGUCAAUAAUCAACAUCUAGAGAGAAUAUUUUCAACAAUCAACAAUAUUAUAACUAUUAGAAAUACAUACAAAGAGAAGUAGCAACACAAGUCUAAAAUUUUUGAAAUAAAAGUUAAACAACUUCUCGAAUUUGGUUAAAGCAUGAUAAGGCAUGAUCCUUAAAGUAGUUCCAUGCUCCUAUGAGAUUGUGUCUUGGCACAAUAGGAUAACAAUGGACAUUCUACCUCCAGGAUGCAACAACCAAUGUUACUUGUAGAGGUACACUACUUUGUAGAGUAGAGAUGAUAGCUUUGGAUGCUUUACUCUUCCAAGGACUUGAGAAGAGUGGUAGAAGGAAAGAGAAAAACCACUUAAGGAUAGAGUAACAAAAAGAGCUCACAAGGCUUCAAAGGAGAGAAGCUUUGAGAUGGGAUGAAGAAAUACCUAGACUACAACUCUAUUUAUAAGCUCUCAAGAUUGGCUCAAAUAGGUAGAAUAUAUGAUUGGAGGCAUGAUUGAUCCAACUAAUUAGCUAAUUGAUUUCAACCAAUUGCUAAUUAAUUAAGCCAAUCGAGGAGGAAAUUGUUUUUUGUUGAGUCCAUUAAGACAUUUGUUGACCAAUAAAAAUGAAUUAAAUGAUUUCAAUCAAUGGCUAAUUAAGCCUAUUAAACAAUUGUUAAUCAAUCAAAAGUUUUACACAUACACUUUCCAACCAUUCCUCACAUUGUGCAUGAGUGGAGUAAUAAUAGAGGAUGACUGGAGGAAGCAUAUACUAGAAUCUAAUGAAUAAGAACAGAUGCCCUUGGGUUAUGAGCCAACCUUAGAAUAAGUAGGUUGUGAGCCAUAAAAAUAUGGUGAAAGUUAAAUCUGCAAUGAACCAGAAUUUCUUUAUGUGAGACAAGGAACCUAUUAUCCACAUUGGUUUCUCAAGUUAGAGUUGUCCAUAAUGUGUUGAUGUGAAUAGGCCAUAGAUCUUACUUGAAUAUUUAUGAGAGCUCUAUAGACCUUGCCUAAGUUCUCAUAGGAAAUGACCCAUUUCUAUACUCAUAUAGGUGAAUCUAUCAAGCAUAUCCUGCAAUUAUAAACACCACUAAUAAGUGAAAUGGUAUUCACUAAGAUAUGUACUCAUCUUCAAUCAUUGUAGAAUACACUCCACCUACACCUUAGUGAUGGAUUCUCAUAUAUAAGUAGUUGAUAGACUAUUUCAUAGUCAAUAAGUCACUUGCUAUUACUUACACGAACCUGCUUCCUUUGAUCUCUAUUAAUGUAAGUUGGGUUACUUAUGAGGACUCAAAUUCAACACUUCAAUGGGCUUUAUAGAACCUAUUUUAGUGUAUUUGGGAUACUUUUAUUGUUAGUGUCUAAGCAAGUUGCAUUUGAUUAUUUUUGUGUUUGUUUUGUAUGUUUUAGGUGCAAACUAGAUAUUAAAAUCAAUGGAACAAAGUAUUUUGAGCUUUAAUGGAGAUUGUGGGAGAGGUUUCAAGACUUGUGGUUGUUAAAGAAAGCAAGUUUAGAAAGAAGAAAUAGUUAAACAAGACCUUGUUCAAGCUUGCAUAAAUAAAUUGGCAAGGAAAAGGCUUGAACAACCUCGAGCAAGAAGAGUUUGACAAGGCGAAGCUCGAGUAAAGAAGGAAUCCUGCCUAGAAGAGGCUUAAGCAAGUAUGAGCAAAGUGAGCUACACUUAAGCCAACCAUGACCUUGCUUAUGUGGCCUCACAUAAUAGGCCAUAACAAGCAUGAACACCUCUAAGCAAGUUUGCCAGACCAGAUCUGUAGAACAAUUCAAGUAGCCAUGUAGCCUCACACAAAAAGCUUGAGCAAACAUGACCACCUUUAAGCAAGUUUGCUUGAGCAGAUUUAGAACAAUUCAGGUAGCCAUGUAGCCUCACACAAAAGGCCUGAUCGAAAAUGAACACGUUUAAGUAAACAUAUCUUAGCACACUUGGGUAAUUUCAAGUAACACUCAAACAUCCACAACUUUGUUUAGACAACUUUUAGCAAACAUUACCUAGUUUGAACAACCUUUAAGGGUACUUACUUCAAGGCAUAUGGCCACCUCUAGAGUUGACAUGUGGUAGCAAAGCGGUAAGAUACACCAACCCUAGGCUGCCAUGUGAUAACUAAAGUGGCAAAAAAAAAAAAAAAUCAUUAUUUUAGCUUUUCUAAGAAUGUAUCGACUUAUUUGGUUGAGUAUAAAAGGAAAAUUCUCAGAUUUCAAUAGUAGGAUUCCACUAUUACAGUAAGAGUAAAAGUAGGUUAGUGAAGCUAUUUCAUCGUAGGAGUAGUAGGUCAGAAAGGCUACCAAAGCUUAUGAUUUUGACUUUUAUCUUCAUUCUAUAAUUAAUAUUUUGAGUUUAUUUUUGUUUCAGAAUCUAAGCAUAGUUAACAUUUCUAGUUGAAUCUUCUAGUACAACCAUUAUUUCAAUUUGUAGUUUAUUAAUGAAAUGUUAAUUUUUUAUUUCUAGUUUUUAAAUUUGUAGUUUCAAUUUUUUAAUUUUUGAAUUUCUUCUAUCUUGAAAUUUCAAUUUUGUUCCAACUUAAUUUCUUGCUUUGCUUGUUUUAUUUAUUUAUUUUUUGUUUUCUUUUGUUUUGUGUGUAUGUGUGUGUGUGUUUUUUUUUCUAUGUUAUUGUUUUUCAAUUUCAAUAUCAAUAGUUGGAUUUCUUAAGACACUGAGAGAGUGAGGGAAGAUGAGGUAAAUCAUACAGUAUUUUAGUCCUUUAAUGUCCUAAACUGAUUGUGUUGAGGUUAUGGGAAUUCUAGAAAAGGCAUGCGUUUGCUGACUAGUUGUGAGGGCUAAAAGACAAGCAACCUUGGGAGUGGAUUUCAAUUGUGUUGAUAUGGGUUCACUUGAGCUAAACGCUAUCAUUUCAUUUUGGAUUCAUUAUAUGAACCUAAUGCCAAAAACACUGGUUUAGUAAUAUAUUUCCCCUCAACCUUAGGUCAAAAGCAUCUAGUUUAGGAGAAUGAUUUAAGCUAAGGGUGAUUUCCUUUAUGGAUCUUUGCCUUUGGUGUUUGAUUGUUUUCAUAUGUUGAUUUUGGAAAAUUUUAUUAUUUAUUUUUCAAUUUCCCUUUAUCUUUGUUAAGUUUCCUAAGUUGUCUCCACUUGCAAAGCCAUUCACUUUGAAUAACCCAUUUUUUAUAUCUCUCUGAUUGAAAUCAUUGGAUCCUUGUGGGUUGGACCCCAUACUCAUUGGGUCGGGUACUAUUUUGAAGGUUCUUAAGCUCAGUAACACCCACAAAAAUAAAAAUUUUAGUGGGUUUUAAAAGCUCUAAGGUUGUAAUCUUCUUUAAUAAUAGUGGAAGUUUUGUUUUUGUCUUCACCCAUGGAUGUAAACUUUAAGCUGAAAUAUGUAAAUCGUCAUGUGUUUUUUAUUUUUGUAUUCUUAUUUCUCUUUCUUUGUUAUUAUUCUUGGUCAUGGUUUUUCACAACAAACUGGUAUCAAAAUACAUGUUAUUAAACUUGAAAUGACAAUAGAGUUUGAGCUUGAGAAGUUAUUUAAAUUUAUGGUACGUUAAGAUGCGUGCCUUAUUGGUUUAAUUAUGAUUGUCCAAAACAUUGAAGGGUAGAGAGACCCUAUUAACAAUGAUGUAUGAUGAAGAGAAAGAUGAAUUUAUGAAGAAAACAUAUAAUGCUAUCCUGUUGUAGAAGAGGAUAGAAUUGCCAAGUUAUGGUUGAAGUUAAAAAGUCUACAUAUGACGAAAUCUUUUUCAAAUCGCUUGUAUUUGAAGAAGUUAUCCACUCUUUAAAUGAAAGAAGAUACAUCUAUUAAAGACCACAUUGAUAAAUUUAAUAAAACUAUCACGAAUUUGAUGUUAAAAUUAAUGAUGAAGAUCAAACCAUAAUUUUAAUGUAUUUCUUAUUGAAUUCUUAUAAGCACUUUAUGAAUACUAUGAUAUAUGGUAGAGAUACUCUCUUUAUAGAGGAUGUUAGAUUAACCUUGAAUUCAAAGGAGUUGAAGAAGAGGGUUUUUUGAUAGUAGAAAAGAAAACUCGGGUGAAGGUUUGGUGAUUAGAGGGAGAAAAAGAAACGUUAUUAGAAAUAUUUCCAUAAACAUUUUAGAUAGUGAAGGGAAAAGGUUAUGACAUGAAGAUGAGUUUGUAAAGAUUACACGAAAUGGAUAAAUAUGAGAGAAAGAAUGAGAGACAUAUGAUAAAACAAAGGGAUGUAUAGUUGCGGAUGUAAAUACAAAGAGUGGGAAAAUAUGUAAUGUUUCGAGAAUCUGAUAGCUGCAUAUGAUUUUUGUCAUAUGUAAUAUUCUCUAUGGUAUAACAAAAAGAUUCAUUCUCAUCCGUAGAUAUAUGUAUGGUUAGUCAAACAACGUUAAAACCUCAUGUACUUUUGUAUGAAUUAUUUUAUCUUUAUAUUUCUAAACUAAUAUUAUUUGCAUUAAAACCUCUAGGGGCAACAAUUUAGUAUUAAAACAAGUUUUUUAGUUGUAAUUUUUGUACAAAAAUUGUAUCAGCUCAAUUUUAGCUCAAACUGAAAGAAUCAAAAUAAACUAAGAAGAAUUAAUGUUGAGUCAUAUUGGAGUUUAGGUGAAUAAACAAAUUAGUUGAAUUUACUUAAAUUUGACCAGCUCAUUCGGUUCUUGGUGGAUUGAUUAAAAACCAACCAAAAUCGUAGAGUGUCAACUUUUAUUAAUCAUAGAGUUAUUAGAGACUACCAUGCUUUGUAUGCGUGGAAGGAAUCAAUAUUUUUUGCUUUGACUGGACAUCAAAUAAAACAUAAAACAUAAAAACUAACAUAGGGCCUAUUUGGUAACUAUUUUUGAAAAUAGUUUUGAAAAAUAGUUUUUGAAAAAAGUUUUGAAAAUUGUUUUAUGAUAUUUUGUAGAACAAAAAAUUGUUUAGAAAUUUAAAAUAUUUUUAACUUGUUUUAAAUUUUUUAAAAUAAUUUUUAUUUGUAGUGCUUUCAUCCUUAAUGUUUGUACAAUUAUUUUUUAAAACAAUUAUCAUAAAAUAAGUGAAAAUAACUAAAAUAUGUUAUCUGAAAAUACCAAAUUUUCUAUUUUAAAAGACACAACAUAGAGAACAGUUUUUGGUUACUAUAACAUGUUUUCUAGGUUUUUUGUUUUGAAGAAUAAAAAACUGUUACCAAACAAGGUCAUAAUAUCUUGUUUGAUUUAUCAAGAAAAGCUUAGACAAAAAUCAAAUCAAAUAAAAGUAAUUUAAAAAUUCAUAUAUUUUUAAAUUAUACAUUACCUAAAUAAAAAAAAAAAAGAGAAAAAAAUUGGAAAAAUAUAGAAUAAAGAUUUAUUGGGUUUAAACUGACAUAUCAGUUUCCCUCAUCUUUCUUAAAUUUUCUAAUAUCCAAAUGGAAUACAAAUGAAAUCCAUUGAUGAGAGAAUGACAUGACUCUAGGCAACUAAAAGAAUGCUACUUAGACUGUGUUUAAAACCUUUUAGAAUUACUUUUAUGGACAAUUUGUGGAUACUGAAAAGUUGUAAGUAUUUUUGGAAGGAAAUAACUUCAAAGCAGUUUUUUUAUUUUUAUUUUUUUACGAAAGUUAAACGUUAAAAAUCUAAAGAAUGAUUUAAAAUAACUUUUGAACUAAUGUUUGGCAAGUGAUUUUUCCUUUUUAUUUUAUUUUAUUUAUUUUGGGAUUCCAUUACAUAAUGGAAGUGCUUUGAAAACAUUUUUUAUUGCAAGUGUUAGGAGCUAAAUGUACUGUCACAAGAAUCACUCCCAAGUCCAAUAGACCUCAUUGAUCUAAUGUAUGAUUUUUCAGAAUGGAGAAAUGAUGAAUACCUUGGAUCAGAAUUCCAUUUCUGCGAAUUUGAAAGGCAACCCUAAUUAGUAGCCAACAAAGGCUGAGCCAAUCCAUUGAAACAAUCAGCAGUAGUCUCUUGCUCAUCAGCUUCUCUCUGCUCUCAGCCAUUGACGGAAUGGAAGCUUGUCCUUAACCUUACUGUCUUCAAUUUAGUUGGGUUGCUAUGCCUCCAAUGGGAAAGCUUCACGGAAAGGUCUUUUCACAUGGCUCUUCUUUUGACCAACCGCCUUUUCAAAACUGCAAAAAAUUUCGCCCAUCUUUACUUCAGUACAUGGUCCAUAUAUGACAAAGAAUAUACAAGGCUCCAUUAUUGGCUACAGAGUGGAGACCCCAAUCAUCGCGUCAAGUUGCUCUCGAGUAAAACAAUGACAGCCCAUUUGUCGCUGGAUUCCAUGUGUGGAGAGUUUGAACCCAUUCCACCCUCCAUGUGAUAGCCACCAACCCUACUAGAAAGUUAUCGUCAAGAGACAGUGAACUGGAGCUGGACGGUGGUGCAAUAGGAUAAAAGGCGGCUUUCUUCAAACUUCAGAUUCUUCAAGGUUAUAAUCUCAUCACCAUAAUCAUUAAUUACCACUUGGCGCUUAAUUUUGAUUUAUUGUUUGUUCUAGUCUUUCUGUAUUUCUCUUAAUUUUGUUUGGUGUCUGGGAUAAUUGUAUUUGUAGAAACAGCUGAGCGCUAAACCUUUGGAGUUGAGAUCAAAAUUCAACCUUAAACUACCCUUUUUGUGGAGGGAAGAAGGUGAGAUAUGGCUUUGGAGAUUGCGAGUUUCGUUAUCCAGGUUGGGGAGAGGCUGUGGUCUUCAGCGACUGGUCCAGUGAGUAAUCUGGUGAACUAUAGGAAAAAUAUAAAGAAUCUCAAUGAUGAAGUUGAGAAGCUAGAGAUUAUCAGAAGCGAUAAUCGACUUUCUGCGAGCGCCGCCCAGAUGAAUGGAGAAGAAAUCAAAGGCGAGGUUCAGAUGUGGCUGAACAAAUCUGACGCUGUCCUAAGAGGGGUUGAGAGAUUGAAUGGUGAAGUCGACAUGAACAGGACAUGCUUCGGUGGGUGCUGUCCUGAUUGGAUAUCGCGUUACAAGUUAAGCAAGCAAGCCAAGAAAGAUGCACAUACUGUUAGGGAGCUCCAAGGGACGGGAAGAUUUGAAAGGGUUUCGCUCCCAGGGCGACGGCAACUGGGAAUCGAGUCGACGCUGUCAUUGGGGGAUUUUCAGGCAUUUGAAUCGACCAAAAGGGCGAUGGAUGAGGUCAUGGUGGCCUUGAAAGAAGAUCGGGUGAAUAUUAUUGGGGUCUAUGGAAUGGGGGGUGUGGGCAAAACAACCAUGGUGAAACAGGUGGGUGCAAAUGCUCACAGAGAUGGGCUGUUUCAGCAUGUUGCAAUGGCUGUGAUAUCCCAGAAUCCGGAUUUGAGGAAAAUUCAAGCCCAAAUUGCAGAUAUGUUGAACUUGAAGCUAGAAGAGGAGAGUGAAGCUGGGAGGGCAGCAAGGUUGAGGGAGAGGAUAAUGAGAGGCAAGAGUGUUCUCAUAAUCUUAGAUGACAUAUGGAGAAGAAUUGACUUAUCUGAGAUAGGAAUUCCCAGUACUGGCAGUGACCUUGAUGCCUGCAAAUCCAAAAUCUUACUGACCACAAGGCUUGAAAAUGUGUGUCAUGUCAUGGAAAGCCAAGCAAAAGUCCCUCUGAAUAUUCUGUCUGAACAGGAUUCUUGGACCUUGUUUGGGAGGAAAGCAGGGAGAAUCGUGGAUUCUCCUGAUUUUCAUAAUGUAGCACAGAAGAUUGUCAAAGAAUGUGGAGGCCUCCCAAUUGCUCUGGUGGUUGUUGCUAGAGCAUUAGGCGAUAAGGACUUGGAUGAAUGGAAAGAAGCUGCAAGACAACUAGAAAUGUCCAAGCCAACAAACCUUGAUGAUGAUGGGGGUGUUUUCAAAUGUAUAAAACUGAGCUAUGACUAUUUGAAAGGCAAUAGCACCAAACCAUGUUUUCUGAUUUGUUGUUUGUUUCCAGAGGACACGGACAUCAGCAUCGAAGACUUGGUGAAGUACGGAUUGGGGCAAGGGCUGUUUCAAGAGGCCAACACAAUCGAAGAGGCAAGAGGCAGAGCACGUUCUGUUGUCAAGUACCUCAAGGCUUGCAGUCUGUUGUUGGACAGCACAGAGGAGGGCGGUGUGAAAAUGCAUGACGUUGUCCGCGAUAUGGCUAUACUACUCGCAUCAUCUGAAGAAGAUAAUGCCUUUAUGGUGCAAUCUGGUAGCGCCUUAAAAGAGUGGCCGACAAAGGACAGCUAUGAAGCCUACACAGCCAUCUCACUCAUGUCCAACGAAAUCGAGGAGCUCCCUGAUGGACUAGUAUGCCCAAAGCUCCAG